RNAcentral lists this transfer RNA (69 nucleotides) under Occidozyga sp. SH0456. RNAcentral describes it as "tRNA-Val". Lineage: Eukaryota; Metazoa; Chordata; Amphibia; Anura; Dicroglossidae. The record is from RNAcentral.
CAAAAUGUAGCUUACAUAAAGCCCCUUGCUUACACCAAGAAAACGUCUGCUGAUACCAGACCAUUUUGC